AACCCGGAAGCGGAUCGCGUGGUGUGAAGGUCCUACCGCGGCGCGUGAGUUUCGCUCUGCCUUGUAUUAAGUCUGCACUUCACAGGUCCCCGGCGCUUCUGUCCCUGGGACGUGGGAUCCCCACGGACCUGGAAAUUCUCGCCGGUCUUCCUUCACCCAGAGCAAAUUGAGACGUCCCGGAUUGAUUCUAAAGACUCAUGUUACGUGAGGAAGCAGCUCAGAAGAGGAAAGGAAACGAGCCAGGCAUGGCUCUUCCUCAGGGACACUUGACUUUCAGGGAUGUGGCUAUAGAAUUCUCAUUGGAAGAGUGGAAAUGCCUGAACCCUGCGCAGAGGGCUUUAUACAGGGAAGUGAUGUUGGAGAACUACAGGAACCUGGAGGCUGUGGAUAUCUCUUCCAAAUGCAUGCUGAAGGAGGUCUUAUCAACAGGGCAAGACAAUACAGAAGUGUUCCACUCAGGGACACUGCAAAGACAUCAAGGUUAUUACAUUGGAGAUUUUUGCUUCCAGGAAAUUGAGAAAGAAAUUCAUGACAUUGACUUUCAGUGUCAAGAAGAUGAAAGAAAUGGCCAUGAAGCACCCAUAACAAAAAUAAAAAAGUUGACUGGCAGUACAGACCGAUAUGAUCAAAGGCUUGCUGGAAACAAACCUAUUAAAGAUAAGCUUGGAUCGAGCUUUUAUUCACAUCUGCCUGAACUCCACAUAUUUCAAAUCAAAAGUAAAAUUGGUAAUCAACUUGAGAAGUCUACCAAUGAUGCUCCCUCGGUUUCAACAUCCCAAAGAAUUUCUUGUAGGCGCCAAAUCCAUAUUUCUAAUAACUAUGGGAAUAAUUCCCUGAAUUCUUCAUUGCUCACACAAAAACAGGAAGUACACAUGAGAGAAAAAUCUUUCCAAUGUAAUGAGAGUGGCAAAGCCUUUAAUUGUGGCUCACUCUUAAGGAAACACCAGAUACCCCAUUUAGGAGAGAAACAAUAUAAAUGUGAUGUAUGUGGCAAGCUCUUUAAUCACAAGCAAUACCUUGCAUGCCAUCAUAGGGGUCACACUGGAGAGAAACCUUACAAGUGUAAGGAGUGUGGCAAGUCCUUCAGUCAGGAGUCAUCCCUUACAUGCCAUCGUAGACUUCAUACUGGAGUAAAAUCUCACAAGUGUAAUGAGUGUGGCAAGAUCUUUGGUCAAAAUUCAGCCCUUGUAAUUCAUAAGGCAAUUCAUACUGGAGAAAAACCUUACAAGUGUAAUGAAUGUGACAAGGCUUUUAAUCAACAAUCAAACCUUGCACGUCAUCGUAGAAUUCAUACUGGAGAGAAACCUUACAAAUGUGAAGAAUGUGACAAAGUUUUCAGUCGGAAAUCAACCCUUGAGACACAUAAGAGAAUUCAUACUGGAGAGAAACCAUACAAAUGUAAGGUUUGUGACAUAGCUUUCACGUGGAAUUCUCAGCUGGCAAGACAUACAAGAAUUCACACUGGAGAGAGAACUUACAAGUGUAAUGAGUGUGGCAAGACUUUCAGUCACAAGUCAUCCCUUGUAUGCCAUCAUAGACUUCAUGGUGGAGAGAAAUCUUACAAAUGUAAGGUUUGUGACAAGGCUUUCGCAUGGAAUUCACACCUGGUAAGACAUACUAGAAUUCAUAGUGGAGGAAAACCUUACAAGUGUAAUGAAUAUGGGAAGACCUUUGGUCAAAAUUCAGAUCUUUUAAUUCAUAAGUCAAUUCAUACUGGAGAGCAACCUUACAAAUAUGAAGAAUGUGAAAGGGUUUUCAGUCAUGAAUCAACCCUUGAGACACAUAAGAUAGUUCAUACUGGAGAGAAACCAUACAAAUGUAAGGUUUGUGACAAGGCUUUUGCUUGUCAUUCGUAUCUGGCAAAACAUACUAGAAUUCAUAGUGGAGAGAAACCUUACAAGUGUAAUGAGUGCAGCAAGACCUUCCGUCUGAAGUCAUACCUUGUAUGCCAUCGUAGACUUCAUAGUGGUGAGAAACCUUACAAAUGUAAUGAGUGCAGCAAGACCUUCAGUCAGAGGUCAUACCUUCAUUGCCAUCGUAGACUUCAUAGUGGUGAGAAACCUUACAAGUGUAAUGAGUGUGGCAAGACCUUCAGUCACAAGCCAUCCCUUGUAUACCAUCGUAGACUUCAUACUGGAGAGAAAUCUUACAAAUGUACGGUUUGUGACAAGGCUUUCGUACGUAAUUCAUACCUGGCAAGACAUACCAGAAUUCACACUGCGGAGAAACCUUACAAGUGUAAUGAAUGCGGGAAGACUUUUAAUCAACAAUCACAAUUUUCACUUCAUCAUAGAGUUCAUGCUGGAGAGAAACUUUACAAAUGUGAAGCAUGUGACAAAGUUUUCAGUCGUGAAUCACACCUUAAAAGACAUAAGAGAAUUCAUCCUGGAGACAACGCAUACAAAUGUAAGGUUUGUGACAAGACUUUUGGGAGUGAUUCACACCUGAGACAACAUACUGGAAUUCACACUGGAGGGAAACCUUACAAGUGUAAUGAGUGUGGCAAAGCCUUUAGCAAGCAGUCAACACUUAUUCACCAUCAGGCAGUUCAUGGUGUAGGGAAACUUGACUAAUGUAAUGAUUGUCACAAAGUCUUCAGUAACGCUACAACCAUUGCAAAUCAUUGGAGAAUCUAUAAUGAAUAGAGAUCUAACAAGUGUAAUAAAUGUGGCAAAUUUUUGAGACAUCAUUCACACAUUGCAGUUCAUUGACACACUCAUACUGGAGAGAAACCUUACAAAUGUCAUGAUUGAGGCAAGGUCUUCGGUCAAGCUUCAUCCUAUGCAAAACAUAGGAGAAUUCAUACAGAAGAGAAACCUCACAAGUGUGAUGAUUGUGGCAAAGCCUUUACUUCACGUUCACACCUCAUUAGACAUCAGAGAAUCCCUACUGGACAGAAAUCUUACAAAUGUCAUCAGUGUGGCAAGGUCUUCAGUCCGAGUUCACUCUGCGGAACAUCAGAAAAUUCAUUUUUGAGAUAACUGUUCCCAAUGCAAUGAGUAAGGCAAACCAUCAGAAAAUUCAUUUUUGAGAUAAUUGUUCCCAAUGCAAUGAGUAUGGCAAACCAUCAGAAAAUUCAUUUUUGAGAUAAUUGUUCCCAAUGCAAUGAGUAUGGCAAACCAUCAAGCGUUAAUUGACAUUAGAGUCAAUUCAGCACUGACUUGAGUUUGUGUUGACUUAACAUUGAGUUCAAGCCUUAACUGACAUUCAAGUGUUUUUGUUAAGAGGAUUGGGCCAGGUGCAGUGGCUCACACCUGAAAUCCCAGCACGUUGGAAGGCCAAGGCACAUAGGUCACUUGAGGUCAGAAGUUUGAAACCAGCAUGGCCAACAGAUGUCAGCCACUUUUCCCAGCCUGUUUUUUGUUUCUUAUUUUCUAUUUUUCUUUUUUGAGAUAGUGCUUUUUAAAGAGAUAGUACUUUUUUGAAAUAGUACUUUAUAAAAGGGAGAUCAGGCCAGGCACGGAGGCUCAUGUCUGUAAUCCCAGCACUUUGAGAGGCUGAGACAGGCCCAUGACAAGGUCGGGAGAUCGAGACCGUCCUGGCUAACACGGUGAAACCCUGUCUCUACUAAAAAUACAAAAUAUUAGCCGGGCGUGGUGGCAGGUGCUUGUAGUCCUAGCUGCUCGGGAGGCUGAGGCAGGAGAAUGGUGUGAACCCUGGAGGCGGAGCUUGCAGGGAGCCAAGAUCGCGCCACUGCAUUCCAACCUGGGUGACAGUGAGAGUCUAUCUCAAAAAAAAAAAAAAAGGAUAUCAAAGCUGGAUGGUGGCUCAUCCCUGCAAUCACAACACCUUGGUAGACUGACGUCAGUGGAUCACCUAAGGUCAGCAGUUCAAGAGCACCCUGGCUAACAUGUUGAAACCCCAUCUCUACUAAAAAUAAAAAAGUUAGCCAGGGGUGGGGGUGUGCACCUUUAGUUCCAGCUGCUUGAGAGGCUGAGGCACAAGAGUCGCUUAAACCUGGGAGGUAGAGGUUGCAGUGAGGCAAAAUCGUGCCACUGCCCUGCAGCCUGGGCAGCAGAGUCAGUCUCCAUCUCAAAAAAACCAGCAAACAAAAAAUAAAAAAAAAGACAUCAAAAAUGCUUUUGUUCUCAUUGUUUAAUAGGCUUCCUUUUUUUUCUUUCUGAUUCCUCUUCAUUUCUCUCUCUAUUCUUUUUUUUUUUUUUUGCAGUUUGAGUUUGAGAUAAAUCUUAGUUUUAAAAAUUUUAUUUCUUUCAUAGUAUAUAAUCACAUCUGAAAGAUGCCUUUGCAGCAUCGUAUAAUCAGCUCACAUCAUUCAUUUCUGUACUUGUAUAUUUUCCAGUUAUUUUCCAGUUGACCCCAGAAUUCGCUAGAUAAAAAAAAAAAAAUUUCAAAAUAGUUGCUGUUUGAAAUUAGUUGCAUCCAGUUCAGAUCGAGGUCUGCAUGCUUCCUAGUCUUUGUUAUUUAUUGGAAGCCUUUCGUACCUAAUACUUAAGUUUGAUUGUUUCAGUGUGUACUUGGUAUAGAUGUCAGUGACCUUUUAACUAAAUAUCAAAAUGUAGUUUAACCAGUUAGUCUGUUUUUCAGUUUUCUUUCCUUAUGUCAUUUGUUGAAAUCUUGAGCUGGGGGCUAUUUAUUGCGUGUUUCCCUCAAGGGCCUCUGGUCCAUUCUAGAAAAAUGUUGAAACAUGGGCUGGAUUGGCAUAGAACUCUCCUCCAAAAGCAGCCAUGUAUUCCUUUUUUUUUUUUUUUUCCCCCUGAAAUGGAGUCUCGCUCUGUUGCCUUGGAUGGAGUGCAGUGGUGCGAUCUCAGCUUGCUGCAACCUCUGCCUCCCGGGAUCAAGUGAUUCUCCUGCCUCAGUCUCCUGAGUAGCUAGAAUUACAGGCACCCACCAGCAUGCCUGGCUAAUUGUUGUAUUUUUAGUAGAGACAGGGUUUCACCAUGUUUGUCAGGCUGGUCUCUAACUCUUGACCUUGUGAUCCGCCUGACUCGGCCUUGCAAUGUGCUGUGAUUACAGGCAUGAGCCACGGCGCCUGGCCUCUUUUUUUUUUUCUUUUUCUUUUUUUUUUGAGACGGAGUUUCACUCUUGUUGCUCAGGCUGAACUACAAUGGUGCGAUCUCGUGUCACUACAGCAUUGGCCUCCCAGGUUCAAGCCCUUCUCCUGCCUCAGCCUACCAAGUAGUUGGGAUUACAGGUGCCCUCCUCCACUCCCGGCUAGUUUUUUGCGUUGUUAGUAGAGACAGGGUUUCAACAUGUUGACCAGGCUGGUCUCGACUUCUGACUUCAGGUGAUCUGCCCACCUCGACCUCCCAAAGUGCUAGGAUUACAGGUGUGAGCCACCGUGCCUGAUCACUCAUGUAUUGAUUGAAACUGUUUGCUUAUGUCUUAGUUCUACAGCUGACCUUCUUUCCCUGUUUUCAAGGUCAAUAGCUGUGUGUUUACACUUCUGCAUUUUAUAAAUGUUCCUGUGAUUUUCCUGUAAGGAAGAAUUAACUGUCAGGAAUCAAUGGCAUCAGAAACUUGCAAAAGAAGUUCCUUUAGCCCAGGGUUGACCUCUAAAGAUUCUUGGUACAUGAGGAAGAAACCUGGAAGAGGAAGAGGAAAGCAAAGGAGUCAGG
Pongo pygmaeus (Bornean orangutan) is the source of this 5576-nucleotide RNA transcript. It is a transcript of the gene named zinc finger protein 611, with no coding region annotated. Lineage: Eukaryota; Metazoa; Chordata; Mammalia; Primates; Hominidae. The transcript has 5 exons. The record is from RefSeq and is a predicted model, not a curated record.